This is a long non-coding RNA of Brassica rapa (field mustard), 1906 nucleotides long. RefSeq lists it as uncharacterized. The record is from RefSeq and is a predicted model, not a curated record. Lineage: Eukaryota; Viridiplantae; Streptophyta; Magnoliopsida; Brassicales; Brassicaceae.
UGCAAGCCAUGGAAACCCUAACAAGCUAUGCCAGAAAUUAAGAUCUACUGAAUGAGCACAACAAAAACUCAGAUUCAAUAGAUCUCAGCAGAGCAGGAGUAUUUCGAGCAAACUCCACUCGACCAGUCUUUGGAAAUCAUUUCUCAGAAGAUGCACAUGCCGUGUGUUGCUGCUGAUUUUUGAGUUUGUAAUCAACCAAACACUAUGCUUUUCAUAUGUUCAUCUCUGCACUUCUUCAGGUCCCUUCUUUUUUUUUUUAUUCUAGCAACUUAACUUCUACUGCAUCCUCUAAUAGUUUCAUUAUCCAUUCAAAAUAUUUUUUUAUCUCAGCUAUGUGAUAGCUGAGACAUGUUAUUUAGACAAUUAGCCAGAUUUGUAUUGGAAGAUGAAGAUGCAGCCAAAAGGGUCUGACGGACUCCUUUUACCCUACAUGGAAACCAGAACUACAUAGAGAUCCCUAGAGGCAUUGCAGUGGUUGGGACAAUGUAUGGGUUGGUUAUGAUUGGAAAUACAAUUCAAGUUGUGCAGAGCCCUCCAAUGCAGUCUGGGAUUUUCAAAUCCAGUCUCUUUUUUUUAUCUUUCAUCACUCUCUCUCUUCACAGCUUGCUCAAUAAAAGGGAAAAUGAAGUUGUCAGUGUUGUAAAUACAAUUCUGGUGGUAUAUUCAAGGUGUAAGUGGUCACUGGUCAAGAAUAUGUGUGCUCUCAAAAGAAACAGAGGAAGCUGAAGAGUAGCCCAUAUUCUGCUCCAAACACAGACCUGGCUCUCUCCUGAUCCUUCGAGCUGAGGUUCAAUGUGGAAGGACGAGAAACCAACCAUGGUCUCAUGAGAAUUUUCAAUGAUCCUUCCAAGGAUAUAACGUUCUAUGUGGAGUUGAAAUACUUUCAUUUGUUUAAAGCUGCCAAAGAAGGAGGAUGGUUGGGACUACAAUACUGUUUAUAUAUGGUUUGAUUUCUUUCUACACCAUAAUACUCCUGCGUUACUGUCUCGACAGUGAGUUUGACCUCAAGACCUAUCCCGACAGUGCCCAAGCUGCGUUUCUACCACGUGACGUAUCUUUGUCUCGGUAAGGGGCUAAUAUUUUCAAAAAGUUCUGAAUCUACCUUUAUAGUAAAGGUUAUAAAAGUUAAGAACCAUAUAACAGAAAUAUGAUUUGCCUUUGGGCUUUCGAACAAAUGGAACAACUGAAAAGCUAUGGGUAGCAAGUAGAUCAGUUAGUAAAUCUCUCACUAAUAAAUCCCUAAUUGCUAUCAGAAGUCAAUAGUACAAUACUAUAAGCUUAUACUAUGUUUCAUCAAAUAUAGCGAUAGAAUAUUACACUUAUGUGCUUAGUGGAGAACACUACUCUCCUUUGUAGUAAAAUUAUAAUAUAUUUAAAAAAGGUAGAGGUUAUUUCGUAGAGAUUCCAUCAUUAGUAAUGGAAUCUUAUAACAUUUAUACAUAAUAUUUUGUUCAUAUUCUUUUUUUUUUAAUGUAUUGCAGAUAAUUCUCUACUUGGAGCAGUACACAAGUACCUUCUCCAUUCAUCCAAUAAAUGACUUCAGUUUAUACUUUCUCAACUCUGUCUGUCAAGAAAAAGUGCAUAAUUACAGGAUUCCAAGUGGGGUUAAAACACACAACAGAAGAGAUCUUGAAGUAUGUAGAAUCCAUAGCCCCAUCUCCCAUGUCGUGAAACAAGUGAGCAUCGGGCCCCAUAGAUGAGAGCAUUUAAACAAAUCCAGUUUUCCAUUUUCGAUUCUUCUUGCAUGAUCUCCAUUUUAAUUGUGUGCAUGUUAGUCGUGUGUUUGAUCAUAUCCUUUUGUUUCGCGUACGAUAUUAUUAGGCUUUCAGUCAUUGUUUAUUGAUUAUUAAAAUAUCAGUCCAGCUUCUCGAUCCAUUGUUUCAAUAAAAAGAUUAUAUCUUUGGUC